UGGGGAAUAUUGGGCAAUGGGCGCAAGCCUGACCCAGCAACGCCGCGUGAAGGAAGAAGGCUUUCGGGUUGUAAACUUCUUUUAAGGGGAAGAGCAGAAGACGGUACCCCUUGAAUAAGCCACGGCUAACUACGUGCCAGCAGCCGCGGUAAUACGUAGGUGGCAAGCGUUGUCCGGAUUUACUGGGUGUAAAGGGCGUGCAGCCGGAGAGGCAAGUCAGAUGUGAAAUCCGCGGGCUCAACCCGCGAACUGCAUUUGAAACUGCUUCCCUUGAGUAUCGGAGAGGUAACCGGAAUUCCUAGUGUAGCGGUGAAAUGCGUAGAUAUUGCGCAGAACUCCGAUUGCGAAGGCAGCGUACUGGCGCCUGACUGACGCUGAGGCACGAAAGCGUGGGGAUCGAACAGGAUUAGAUACC
Molecule: ribosomal RNA, 415 nt
Filed under: uncultured bacterium
Lineage: Bacteria
Description: bacterial SSU rRNA
Rfam family: Bacterial small subunit ribosomal RNA
Source: RNAcentral